AUCCUUCGUAGUGGCAGUAUCGUAGCUCUAUGAGGUCAACUGAGGCGUGAUUAUUGCUAGUUGGAAACUUUAACUAAUUCCCGCCUUGACGGCACUGAAAUAUAGUCGGCAAUGGUAAUUUUUGAUGGUUCCAUGGAG
This is a small nuclear RNA of Hippoglossus stenolepis (Pacific halibut), 138 nucleotides long. RefSeq annotates it as U4 spliceosomal RNA. Lineage: Eukaryota; Metazoa; Chordata; Actinopteri; Pleuronectiformes; Pleuronectidae. The transcript has a single exon. The record is from RefSeq and is a predicted model, not a curated record.